UACGUAGGGUGCGAGCGUUGUCCGGAAUUACUGGGCGUAAAGAGCUCGUAGGUGGUUUGUCGCGUUGUUCGUGAAAACCGGGGGCUUAACCCUCGGCGUGCGGGCGAUACGGGCAGACUGGAGUACUGCAGGGGAGACUGGAAUUCCUGGUGUAGCGGUGGAAUGCGCAGAUAUCAGGAGGAACACCGGUGGCGAAGGCGGCAUCCUGGACCGACAUUGACGCUGAGGAGCGAAAGCUAGGGGAGCAAACGGG
Molecule: ribosomal RNA, 253 nt
Filed under: uncultured bacterium
Lineage: Bacteria
Description: partial 16S ribosomal RNA
Rfam family: Bacterial small subunit ribosomal RNA
Source: RNAcentral